Molecule: long non-coding RNA, 936 nt
Organism: Xiphias gladius (swordfish)
Lineage: Eukaryota; Metazoa; Chordata; Actinopteri; Istiophoriformes; Xiphiidae
Exons: 3
Source: RefSeq, a predicted model, not a curated record
CUCUUCUUCAAACAUGGUAUAACCAGGAAGUAGAAAUAGAUAGGAAAUCCUUGUCAGAUCCUUUUGCCUGAGGAACAGAAAGAGGAUUAGUAACAAUGGAUGGAAUACAACAUUCGUAGUCUAUGGUUUGAGUCUGAAUGUGCAACAGACAUGGAUCACUUGCAUGACAUCCAUUGACAAAAGACAUGCUCUGCCCCGUGAAAUCUGUUGGCGUGGAAAUGGGAUGACCUGUUGCUGGAGUUGAACAGAGUGAAAGGUAUUCAGGAGGGAGAGGACAACGUCGCCCCGCUGGACAAUUUACUGCCCUUCUCUGGGAAUUCCACUUGAUCCAGGUAUGGGAAUGGAGAGUGGGAAAAGCCAGAGCAGUGAACUAACCCUGGCAGUUUUAUCUUGAUUGUCAGAUAAAACAGUAUCUGCUGCUCUAAAGCUACAUAACAUACACGAGAGUCUUUAACAAAAAGCACUUUAGCUCCUCUUCACGUCCUGGUUUCUGAUACAAAAACCUCACAAACACUGUCAUUAGCAAGGCCAAUAAAAGUGCACAGAGGCCUGGAGCAUCUUCUGAAGACUUCUCUUUGAGGCAACAACAUACUUGUGGAAAAAUAAAAACCUUUCUUUCAAGUUCAUCAAUCAAAAUCUCUUAAAUACUGAAACUCUGCAGUGUAAAAGGGAUAUCAGUUAGGCUGUUUUCUUUGUAAAGUGUUUUAAAUAUGACCGCUGCAUCCUUAUGUAAGAGUGGGGAUAAAACUGUCCACUCAUAAAGAUGUAGGACUAUCCUGAUAAUAGUAUAACUCAAAAAAAAGAGGCUAUAAAAAUGGUUUGAUCCAUGACAGUGUUUCUGCCAGAUACUUAUUUUUGUCCAGAGUGAAAAAAACUGGGUACUGAGCCAGACACGCAGACACAGGUGGGUUAACACAGGUUUACAAAAUGGAUAGU